UGGUGGGUAGUUUGACUGGGGCGGUCUCCUCCUAAAGAGUAACGGAGGAGCACGAAGGUUGGCUAAUCCUGGUCGGACAUCAGGAGGUUAGUGCAAUGGCAUAAGCCAGCUUGACUGCGAGCGUGACGGCGCGAGCAGGUGCGAAAGCAGGUCAUAGUGAUCCGGUGGUUCUGAAUGGAAGGGCCAUCGCUCAACGGAUAAAAGGUACUCCGGGGAUAACAGGCUGAUACCGCCCAAGAGUUCAUAUCGACGGCGGUGUUUGGCACCUCGAUGUCGGCUCAUCACAUCCUGGGGCUGAAGUAGGUCCCAAGGGUAUGGCUGUUCGCCAUUUAAAGUGGUACGCGAGCUGGGUUUAGAACGUCGUGAGACAGUUCGGUCCCUAUCUGCCGUGGGCGCUGGAGAACUGAGGGGGGCUGCUCCUAGUACGAGAGGACCGGAGUGGACGCAUCACUGGUGUUCGGGUUGUCAUGCCAAUGGCACUGCCCGGUAGCUAAAUGCGGAAGAGAUAAGUGCUGAAAGCAUCUAAGCACGAAACUUGCCCCGAGAUGAGUUCUCCCUGAGACUUAAAGUCUCCUGAAGGAACGUUGAAGACGACGACGUUGAUAGGCCGGGUGUGUAAGCGCAGCGAUGCGUUGAGCUAACCGGUACUAAUGAACCGUGAGGCUUAACCUUACA
Molecule: ribosomal RNA, 675 nt
Filed under: Salmonella enterica
Lineage: Bacteria; Pseudomonadati; Pseudomonadota; Gammaproteobacteria; Enterobacterales; Enterobacteriaceae
Also listed under: 5 other names
Description: partial 23S ribosomal RNA
Rfam family: Bacterial large subunit ribosomal RNA
Source: RNAcentral